This 247-nucleotide long non-coding RNA is filed under the name Homo sapiens (human). Lineage: Eukaryota; Metazoa; Chordata; Mammalia; Primates; Hominidae. The record is from RNAcentral.
UUGUUUUUGGUGUCUUUAUCAUGAAAUCUUUGCCUCUUUCUAUGUCCAGGAUGGUAUUGUCUAGGUUGUCUUCCAGAGCUUUUAUAGUUUUGGGUUUUACAUUUAAGUAUUUAAUCCAUCUUGAGUUGAUUUUUGUAUAUGGUAUAAGGAAGAAGUCCAACUUCAAUCUUCUGCAUAUGGCUAGCCAGUUAUCCCAGCACCAUUUAUUGAAUAGGGAAUCUUUUCCCCAUUGAUUGUUUUUGCCAGC